AGGUAUUUUGAUUGAAGUUUUCGGAUGGAUUUCAAGAUACCGAGUGGCGGACGGGUUAGUAACGCGUGGGUAACCUGCCUCAUACAGGGGAUAACGGUUAGAAAUGACUGCUAAUACCGCAUAAGCGCACAGGACCGCAUGGUCCGGUGUGAAAAACUCCGGUGGUAUAAGAUGGACCCGCGUUGGAUUAGCUUGUUGGCAAGGUAACGGCCUACCAAGGCGACGAUCCAUAGCCGGCCUGAGAGGGUGAACGGCCACCAUUGGGACUGAGACACGGCCCAGACUCC
RNAcentral lists this ribosomal RNA (287 nucleotides) under uncultured Blautia sp. RNAcentral's name for it is "partial 16S ribosomal RNA". It matches the Rfam family "Bacterial small subunit ribosomal RNA", at positions 59 to 339 of the family's 1533-position model. The record is from RNAcentral. Lineage: Bacteria; Bacillati; Bacillota; Clostridia; Lachnospirales; Lachnospiraceae.